Molecule: long non-coding RNA, 427 nt
Organism: Pipra filicauda (Wire-tailed manakin)
Lineage: Eukaryota; Metazoa; Chordata; Aves; Passeriformes; Pipridae
Exons: 4
Source: RefSeq, a predicted model, not a curated record
AUCCAGACUGAUUUCUGGAAAAGCCGGCUUUAUCUGAGCAAUAUUCAGAAAUCUGGGGAGAGCUCUGUGCUACAUCCAUGGUACAGGCUUGAGGAAAGUCUCCAUGGAGCAUUCCAAAGAGAAGAUAAAUGUGGACAAUUUGUUUUGAACCUCAUCUCAAGCAGUUAAUCAUUACAGCAGGAUCACCACUCUGUGGAAGCAGAAAAGAAGCAUUGUUCCUGAUUGCAGCUCUAAUGAUCCAAAGGGUGCAAUCGCAUAAUUAGACAAAGUAAACAGUGGAAAGGUUGCAGUUCUUGCCUGCAGAGUAAUUGUGUCUUGACUGUGUGAUCAAACUAUCAAGCUUAACUGAAAGGAAGUAAACUGAAUCAGCCUGGGAUCGCAGCAUCCCUGUGUUCUGAGGAAGUCAGAUCCCGAUCUGAUGUGUGCC